RNAcentral lists this ribosomal RNA (370 nucleotides) under uncultured organism. RNAcentral describes it as "partial 16S ribosomal RNA". It matches the Rfam family "Bacterial small subunit ribosomal RNA", at positions 527 to 896 of the family's 1533-position model. The record is from RNAcentral.
GUAGGUGGCAAGCGUUGUCCGGAAUUAUUGGGCGUAAAGCGCGCGCGGGCGGUUCUUUAAGUCUGAUGUGAAAGCCCACGGCUCAACCGUGGAGGGUCAUUGGAAACUGGAGAACUUGAGUGCAGAAGAGGAAAGCGGAAUUCCACGUGUAGCGGUGAAAUGCGUAGAGAUGUGGAGGAACACCAGUGGCGAAGGCGGCUUUCUGGUCUGUAACUGACGCUGAGGCGCGAAAGCGUGGGGAGCAAACAGGAUUAGAUACCCUGGUAGUCCACGCCGUAAACGAUGAGUGCUAAGUGUUAGGGGGUCUCCGCCCCUUAGUGCUGCAGCUAACGCAUUAAGCACUCCGCCUGGGAGUACGGCCGCAAGGCUG